Molecule: unclassified non-coding RNA, 281 nt
Filed under: Hevea brasiliensis (rubber tree)
Lineage: Eukaryota; Viridiplantae; Streptophyta; Magnoliopsida; Malpighiales; Euphorbiaceae
Source: RNAcentral
GCAGAAAGUAGUUCAUGAUCUCCCAUAAUCUCAUCGAUUAAUUCUUUUAAUGGCUUCUCCGCGCUGUUUGGAACAAGAGCAGCAAAGACGGGGUCUUCAAGUCCACUUUCUUCAAAUGCGUCAAGAAACAUCAUCAUCUCCUCUCCGGUAAGGCCAGACAGGAAGCAAAUUCGCGGAAGCUGUUUAGCAAUCUUUGAAGCAUCUAAAUUGGUCUGUUUUGUGUUCACUGCUUCCCAAAGUGAGCGAGAAAUCAUGUCUUCCGUACAAAAGAUGACCUGGAG